GAUGAACGCUGGCGGCGUGCCUAACACAUGCAAGUCGAACGCUUCACUUCGGCUUAGCGUGGCGGACGGGUGAGUAAUACAUAAGUAACCUCGCAUCUACAGGGGGCUAACUGUUGGAAACGUCUGCUAAGACCGCAUAUGUGUACAGAUCGCAUGUACUCUAUAUGAAUAGUGCUACGGAACUGGUAGAUGAUGGGCUUAUGCGGCAUUAGCUUGUUGGUAGGGCAACGGCCUACCAAGGCGACGAGGCGUAGCCGAACUGAGAGGGUGACCGGCAACACUGGAACUGAGACACGGACAAGACUCCUAAGAGAGGCAGCAGUAGGGAAUUUUAGGCAAUGGGGGAAAACAUGACCGAGCAACGCCGCGUGAAGGAAGAAGAAAUUCGGUAUGUAAAGAACUGUCAUAGGGGAAGAACGGUGGUUAUAGGGAACGAUACCGGAGUGACGGUACUGGAUAAAAAAGCAACGGCUAACUACGUG
RNAcentral lists this ribosomal RNA (482 nucleotides) under uncultured bacterium. RNAcentral's name for it is "partial 16S ribosomal RNA". It matches the Rfam family "Bacterial small subunit ribosomal RNA", at positions 28 to 507 of the family's 1533-position model. The record is from RNAcentral.